UGGAUUCGCUAGUAAUCGCGCAUCAGCCAUGGCGCGGUGGAAUAACGUUCCCGGGCCUUGUACACACCGCCCGUCAAGCCAUGGGAGCCGGGGGUGGCUUGAAGUGCGUCGCCGCAAGGCGCGCCCUAGAGCAAAACCGGUGACUGGGGCUAAGUCGUAACAAGGUAUC
This 169-nucleotide ribosomal RNA is filed under the name uncultured bacterium. RNAcentral describes it as "partial 16S ribosomal RNA". It matches the Rfam family "Bacterial small subunit ribosomal RNA", at positions 1327 to 1500 of the family's 1533-position model. The record is from RNAcentral.